Molecule: ribosomal RNA, 491 nt
Filed under: uncultured bacterium
Lineage: Bacteria
Description: partial 16S ribosomal RNA
Rfam family: Bacterial small subunit ribosomal RNA
Source: RNAcentral
GUGAACGCUGGCGGUCGGCCUAACGCAUGCCAGUCGAACGGCAGCACAGUAAGAGCUUGCUCUUACGGGUGGCGAGUGGCGGACGGGUGAGGAAUACAUCGGAAUCUACUUUUUCGUGGGGGAUAACGUAGGGAAACUUACGCUAAUACCGCAUACGACCUACGGGUGAAAGCAGGGGAUCUUCGGACCUUGCGCGAUUGAAUGAGCCGAUGUCGGAUUAGCUAGUUGGCGGGGUAAAGGCCCACCAAGGCGACGAUCCGUAGCUGGUCUGAGAGGAUGAUCAGCCACACUGGAACUGAGACACGGUCCAGACUCCUACGGGAGGCAGCAGUGGGGAAUAUUGGACAAUGGGCGCAAGCCUGAUCCAGCCAUACCGCGUGGGUGAAGAAGGCCUUCGGGUUGUAAAGCCCUUUUGUUGGGAAAGAAAAGCAGCAGGUUAAUACCCCGCUGUUCUGACGGUACCCAAAGAAUAAGCACCGGCUAACUUCGUG